CGGUCGCUUGCCAAGGAUCUGCCGGGUCUCUGUCCUGGAGGUGAUGGCCGUGAGGAUGCAGCCUGGCUGCUCCCCCAGCUCCUGCUGAACGGGGGGGCGCUGAGAUGCCACCGUGGUGCUGCGCUGCUGCUGCUGCUCCUUUUGGUGAAGGAUUGGAGAGCUGCGAAGAGGAGGUUGAGUAACAGCGGAGGACGUUAAAAACCUAUUGAUUUGCAGCGGAGGUUCCUCGUGUGUUGGGAGCUGAGGGAAAACAAUCUCCAAUCAGAGCCGUGUUUUUAAUGUCCAGAACAAAUAGUCGGUGGUACCUGGAGCUGUGCAGUUCGUGCCAACAGAGAUGUUCUGCAAACGUGCAUUGAUUUAAGCCUGCCGCCGUUGCUGGGAGGUGUCUGCGGCAGUGCUACAAGAUGAGGAGCAGGUGCUGAGCGGGCUCCUCUUUCUGUCUGUUUUCUACAGCUUCCCAAUGCUCUGCAAGCUGCUGCUCGUUGCAGUAUUCAGUUGGUCAGCGUUCACCCCACAGUGCCUCUCCUCCUAGACCAGCUCUUGCAUUUUGGGUCGGUUUUCUUGUUUUUCGGGUGGGGAAACUGAGGCAAGGAACCCUGCUCAUGCCUGGGUUGGUGACGGCCUCCAGGAGAGGAAUCCAGGCUCCCCAUCCAGCAAACCAGGGCAGGAGGUGGAGGAAACCUGCUGAGAGCAACCACUUCUGGGGACGGAUCUGCGGAAAAGAUUCAUUUACCGGAGCAAAGCACGAGCCUGCGCCUGCCUGAGCACCGCAGCUCACGGGGAGAGCUCAGAUCCUGGCUGGAGCCCCCCAGCCUGGGGUGGAGGCUUGCCCCUGAGCCUCCAGUAAAUAAUUUAGGGGGGAUUCCUUCUUUGUUUCCCCUCCUUCCCCUGCACGAGGUCUGCUUCUGGUGUCAAACAGCCAGCUCUCUCUCCUCUUUCCCUGGGCGGAGGGGGCUGCUGCUGGCUGUGAUUUCGUGGCUGUGGGCAUCCAUAGCUCUGCGCAGGAGUCCCUGGGUCCAUCUGGGGUCAGGAGCCGGGGGGCUGCAGAGCCCACCCGAGCCUCCCAGCCUGUCCUCCAGCCAUCCAGGGACCCGGGACGGCAUCCUUCCUCUGCUGGUUCGUAGUCUUACAGGGCUCGAGGAUGGCAGGAGCGGAUCUGGGGCCCCUGGUGAGACUUGGAAGGACAGAGGCCAAGCAUCCAUCUGGCUGUGAGCUCGCUGCUGUCGCCCAGCCCUCAGAGCGCCUCUGGGCCUUGGCACCUCCGAAAACAAGGCAUUUUGUGAACGGUGCGUGGGAUGGGAAAUCGUUGUUUGUGUUCACAGAAGCUGGAGAUCAGAUGCUCUGAGCCGUAAACCAGCCUCAUCGCUCAGGGCAGCGCUGGCAGAGGGAGAAGGGAUCGGAAAAGCAUCUUCUGAAAGCGUUCAGGUAGCUUUCCCUGCCGGAGCAGCCACUGCUGCAGGCUUUUUGGUAGCUACGGCAGUUCUUUUGUGCCACCAGCAGCUCGACAAACCCAAAAUGCACAAACAAGCCUUCUGUAAGGGCUGCGCUAACUCCGUGGAGCUCCCUGCACACCUGCUCCAGCAGCCAGCCGCCCUGCUUUCGGGGACACAAGGGACCAAGCGCUAACAAACACAGACAAGGCUUUGCAGCCAGCAGGCUCGGUCCAGGCACUGAGAUCUUAUUGCCAGUCAGGUGCAGCCUCGCAUUCCUCCACAGAUUAUUUAUCAGGAUAAAUAAUUAUAUAUUAGGGCCACGGUGGAUGCAAAUGACAUAAUUAAUAAUACACGCUUCAAGAGUAAUUUGCAAUUUAAAGUGCUGUAUAAAAGCCUGGUAUUAACAAUACUUAUUUUUAUUUAUUUAUUACUGGCUCUCAAAAUCUCCAUGGUGAAUAAUUUUCCAUCUUUUCCAUUUUUUAAUUUAUUUCUAUGGCUCUGGGGAGAGUACAGGCCACCUUGCAGUGACCUGGUCAGGAAGGGGAUGGGCUGGGACACCCCGAUACACCCUUGGCUGGGUUAUGGCUCUUGGCUGGCCGUUUCUGGAGACCGGUGCCCUUGGGGAUUAGUGUCUGUGAUCUUAUUAAUAGGCUUUGUUCGCUUUUUUAGCUUGUACCAGUCACCUGGGAAUGUUUUGCUGCUCUUUUGAGCUGCGCUUUUGGCUGAUGCUUGGUGAAAGCGUGUUUCCAAAAUAGGGAGGUGGUGCUCGUGCUGACUCC
Molecule: long non-coding RNA, 2212 nt
Organism: Anser brachyrhynchus (Pink-footed goose)
Lineage: Eukaryota; Metazoa; Chordata; Aves; Anseriformes; Anatidae
Source: Ensembl